Molecule: ribosomal RNA, 465 nt
Filed under: Vreelandella stevensii
Lineage: Bacteria; Pseudomonadati; Pseudomonadota; Gammaproteobacteria; Oceanospirillales; Halomonadaceae
Description: partial 16S ribosomal RNA
Rfam family: Bacterial small subunit ribosomal RNA
Source: RNAcentral
CCUACGGGGGGCUGCAGUGGGGAAUAUUGGACAAUGGGCGAAAGCCUGAUCCAGCCAUGCCGCGUGUGUGAAGAAGGCCUUCGGGUUGUAAAGUACUUUCAGUGGGGAAGAAAGCCUUGGGGCUAAUACCCUCGAGGAAGGACAUCACCCACAGAAGAAGCACCGGCUAACUCCGUGCCAGCAGCCGCGGUAAUACGGAGGGUGCGAGCGUUAAUCGGAAUUACUGGGCGUAAAGCGCGCGUAGGCGGUCUGAUAAGCCGGUUGUGAAAGCCCCGGGCUCAACCUGGGAACGGCAUCCGGAACUGUCAGGCUAGAGUGCAGGAGAGGAAGGUAGAAUUCCCGGUGUAGCGGUGAAAUGCGUAGAGAUCGGGAGGAAUACCAGUGGCGAAGGCGGCCUUCUGGACUGACACUGACGCUGAGGUGCGAAAGCGUGGGUAGCAAACAGGAUUAGAUACCCUUGUAGUC